This is an RNA transcript of Magnolia sinica, 3865 nucleotides long. It is a transcript of the gene named protein FAR1-RELATED SEQUENCE 5-like, with no coding region annotated. The record is from RefSeq and is a predicted model, not a curated record. NCBI's taxonomy places the organism in Eukaryota, Viridiplantae, Streptophyta, Magnoliopsida, Magnoliales, Magnoliaceae. The transcript is spliced from 8 exons.
UGGAUCUCUCCAUUUCUCUCUCUCUCUCUCUCUCUCUCUCGCCAUCUUCCUCCGGCAUCGGAAUCCGCUCCUCUCUCUCGCUCUCUCCGUCUCGGAUCAGAGGCCGUCCCUCUCUCUCGCCAUCUUCCUCCAGCAUCCGAAUCCGCCCCUCUCUCUCGCUCUCUCCGUCUCGGAUCAGAGACCGUGCCUCUCUCUCGCCCUUUUCUGGCCCCCGACUCUCUCUCUCUCUCUCUCUCUCUCUCUCAGGUGCGAGAGAGAAAGCAUCGACGUCGGUGUCAGAUGAUAUCACAGAGCCCUUCAUCGCGCUGAUUUCACUAGAAAGUCUCCAUCUCAGAGGAAACGCGACUGGAGCUCUGAACUGAAAAGCCCUAAUUUCCGUGGUAUUCUCUAUCUGGUCAACUGGCGAAAUGGAUUUUAAUACCUUGGAGAGUCUACCAUCUUCUCAACCGUCUCGAAGGUUAGAUUUUGAUAUUGAAAUGGAUGAUCAAGGAGCAAGUCAACAAUUAGACAACCAAGGGGCAAGAAAAGAUUUAUGGAAAGAUACAUAUGAGAAUUUAGAUGAGGAGCCAAAAGUAGGAAUGGAGUUUGCCUCUGACGAGAGUGCAUUUGAGUUUUAUAACAAGUAUGCUAGGAUUGCAGGGUUUAGUGCUCGAAAGGGAUGGGUGCAUAAAUCAGACGAUGGUAUGGUCAUACUUACCAGAAUAUUUUGUUGUUCUAAAGAAGGUCAAAGGCGUGAAAAUAAACAAAUUGUUCAGCGGAAGUUUAACCGACCAAUUACAAGAACUCAAUGUCUGGCAAACAUGAAGAUUAAGCUUCAGAAGAAUGGGAAAUACAUUGUGACUAAGUUUGUGGCAGAGCAUAACCAUGAGGUUAUUCCACCAGCGAAGGUGCACAUGUUGAGGUCACAUAGAGGCAAGACUAAGGUUAAAAAAGCUAAAGAAGAUAUAGUGGAUGAUUUAGAAGUAACACCAAAAGCAACUGUAGAACUUUUAAGUAAACAAUCUGGAGGUCAAGAGAAUCCAAGUUUCGUACCCAAUGAUUACAAAAAUGACUUACGGAAGAGGCGAAUGAAAGCGAUGGAAAAGGGUGAUGCAGGAGCUGUUCUUGAAUACUUUCAGAAAAUGCAAGUGGAUAAUCCAUCUUUCUUCUAUGCGAUACAAGUUGAUGAAGAUGAUCGUAUCACGAAUAUGUUCUGGACAGAUGCAAAGGCAAGAAUGGAUUAUAGUGUGUUUGGAGAUGUUGUUUCCUUCGAUACCACGUACAAAAUAAAUAGUUAUGGACGGCCAUUUGCUCCAUUUAUUGGAGUAAAUCAUCAUAAGCAAAGUAUAGUAUUUGGUGCGGCGUUUCUAUAUGAUGAAACAAUCGAAUCUUUCAAGUGGUUGUUUCAAACGUUUUUAAGUGCGAUGUCCGGAAAACAGCCAAUAACAAUCUUGACAGACCAAGACACUGCAAUGGUCAAUGCAUUAGCUUCAGUGAUGCCGGAAACAUAUCAUCGUCUCUGCCUCUGGCAUGUCUAUCAAAAUGCUGCGAAGCACCUUAACCAUGUAUUUAAAGGUUCUAAAAGUUUUCAAUAUGAUUUUAGUAGGUGCAUAUAUGAUUAUGAGGAGGAGCAAGAGUUUGUAAAUGCAUGGAAUGGCAUGCUCGAGAAAUAUGAUUUAAUGGAAAAUAGGUGGCUACAAGAUCUGUUCAAGGAAAGAGAAAAAUGGGCAUUGGUUUAUAGCAAUACAUUCUGUGCAGACAUGAAGAGCACGCAACGAAGUGGGAGUCUGGGUAAUGCGUUGAAAAAAUAUUUGAACUCUAAGUAUAAUCUGCUGCAUUUCUUCACUCAUUAUGAACGGGUACUGGCUGAUCGGCGAUACCAAGAGAGCAUAUCUGAUUUCAAAAUGAGGCAAAGUACUCCAGUAAUGUUUCUUGAUGUGAAGAUGUUAAAUGAAGCGGCAAAGGUGUAUACUCCAGAAGUGUUUGCACUGUUUCAGGAAGAGUAUAAGAAAUUUAUUAGUCAUUCAAUUUAUAAAUGUGGUGAGUUUGGCACAGUUAUUGAGUAUCGUGUUAUCUUCAAUGACAAAAAUGAAGCACGUACUGUUAAAUUCGACGCUUUAGACAAUACAGUGAGUUGUAGUUGCAAGAAGUUUGAGUUUGCAGGGAUCUUAUGUAGUCAUGCAUUGAAAGUUUUGGAUUGUUAUAAUAUAAAGGCGCUUCAACCCCGUUAUAUUUUGAAAAGAUGGCAAAGAGAUGCAAAGAUAGGUUUUGGUAGAGAUCAAAUUGGGUUACCAAUAGAAGGUGAGCGCAAUGUUACUUCAGCUAAGCGUUACAAAUAUUUGUGUCGCAAGCUUCAUAAACUUGCUGCAAUUGCUGGGGAACAUGAUGACCUCUUCAAAUUCGCCGAUAGAUAUGCAGAUAAUUUUCAUGAUGAACUGAUGGAACGUAUGAAAGGGCUGAAGGAACCUCCACUAAUGUCAUUUGAAGCUAUUGAUGAAAGUGUAGAUACUGAACGCGCACGCCUUGAGCCGACUGAAAGUAUAGAUGUUGAAUGUGCAUGCUCUGAGCCAACUGAAAGUGUUCAUACUGACGGUGCGCGUUCUGAGCAAGCUGAAAGUAUAGAUAGAGAAAGCGCACGCCAUGAGCCGAAUGAAAAACAAGUUACUGUUGUUGAAACUCAGAAUUCACAAACUGCAAGUGGGAUUAAAGCGAAGCCUGGGGUUGGGGGCAGCCGUCGUGCCUAUAAAAAUCCCUUGGGUAAAGUAAGGAAGAAAAAUUCCCAAUCUGAAUCCAUUCAGCCACAAGCAAAUCAAGAGAGACAAGAAACAGCCCAAGCAUCAAACAUCACACACCCUACUUCAUUUCAGCCUUCACAUUAUCCAUGUACAUUCCCCACAUUCAAUCAGGGUUCACAUGUUACUGUGGUGAGUCCCUUAGAAAUAUCAAGUGGAUCCCAUGAAGAACAUGGUCAUCGCAUGGUGAUGGGAUAUACUCCUAGCCGCAGUGGAUCCAUAAAUGCACAAUUGACUCAAUAUGAGUACCAAGUACCUAAUACUAGCAUGUUUCAACAAAACAUUUUCAACAUUGGAGCUCAGGUAGAGAAUUCGGUUGUUGCAAGACCGAAUCAUUUCGAGAUACCCAGGAGUGGUACUAGUGACCCUUCCAACAAUCCGCAGUUAUCGCAUUUACGUCAACAAUCAUCUACCGGAAGCGUUGCGUUCAGUCAGUCAUCAUCACCACUACCCAAUAUCAAUCAGUCAUUGGGGUGUGAAGACCACAACCUACGGUUGAAUAAUUAGAUCUUUUUUCAAAGGUGCAGUGAUAGGCUGACAAGACUUGCACAUGAAAUUCUACUUAAAGAUGGCCAUCGAAUUUAAAGAUUAUGCAUAUUCCUCUCUAGAAAUGAAUCUGUGGAUCGGAAUCAGGAGAGUUGGAACCAGCCAAUAAAAUAGAAAUCACUCAAAGCUUUACAACCAACAAGCUUUAGCCUUUCCAACACUUCCUGCUGGGGCAUACUUGUGCAGGUUAUCCCAUAAGUUAUGUGUGGCAAUCAUGGAGGAUCACAAGAUAUUCAAUUGGCCCACUAGUUUGCAAGCUCGAGGAAGUAAUUUUCCCCAUUCCAAACAAUUGCUUUCAUAUCUGCUGAAACUGAUAAUCUCUCAAGUGAUUCUUAGAGUCCAGAAUCUGCCCAUGAAGUUUUUGCAAUCCUCCAAGAGAGCAAUGAUGUCUAUGUAAUCCCCGGACUUCAGUUGUAUCCAAUGCUUGUAAAGUGCUGCGGAGGUGGAAAUUUUGAAUUACAGUUAGAAGUUGCUGUUUGGAGGGAAUUUUGUUUUGUAUAUAUUUAAAUUUGUAUUGCUUUUAUUUGAAAGCAGAUUCAUUGCUGGUA